Molecule: ribosomal RNA, 253 nt
Filed under: uncultured bacterium
Lineage: Bacteria
Description: partial 16S ribosomal RNA
Rfam family: Bacterial small subunit ribosomal RNA
Source: RNAcentral
UACAGAGGGCUCAAGCGUUGUUCGGAUUCAUUGGGCGUAAAGGGUGCGUAGGCGGCGCGGUAAGUCGGGUGUGAAAUCUCGGAGCUUAACUCCGAAACUGCAUUCGAUACUGCCGUGCUUGAGGACUGGAGAGGAGACUGGAAUUUACGGUGUAGCGGUGAAAUGCGUAGAUAUCGUAAGGAAGACCAGUGGCGAAGGCGGGUCUCUGGACAGUUCCUGACGCUGAGGAACGAAAGCGUGGGGAGCGAACAGG